RNAcentral lists this ribosomal RNA (127 nucleotides) under Archaeosporaceae sp. Its description in RNAcentral is "partial large subunit ribosomal RNA". It matches the Rfam family "Eukaryotic large subunit ribosomal RNA", at positions 100 to 224 of the family's 3401-position model. The record is from RNAcentral. Lineage: Eukaryota; Fungi; Glomeromycota; Glomeromycetes; Archaeosporales; Archaeosporaceae.
GGGAAAAGCUCAAAUUUUGAAUCUGGCGUCUUUGGCGUCCGAGUUGUAAUUUGAAGAAGCGAUUAUCACGUUUUCGUUCGGGUUCAAGUUCCUUGGAAUAGGACAUCAGAGAGGGUGAGAAUCCCGU